This is a long non-coding RNA of Mytilus trossulus (common blue mussel), 2755 nucleotides long. RefSeq lists it as uncharacterized. NCBI's taxonomy places the organism in Eukaryota, Metazoa, Mollusca, Bivalvia, Mytilida, Mytilidae. The record is from RefSeq and is a predicted model, not a curated record. The transcript has 3 exons.
CAGAGCUUGAUGACAACGGACGUCUCCAAGGGGUUUCUUUGCAAUGUGACAGUCGUCAAAACAUGGAAGCAUACGCAAACGAUGAUACGGAUUUGUUGGCAGCCGUUUAUCAGUUAUCAAACACUACAAAACUAUCACGGAGAAUGAUAAAGUGACCAUGUGAUCACGGAGAAUGACAAAGUGACCAUGUGCAAUUCAUAAACAAGACCGUGUGAUAUUGGUGGAGGGACAUAUUAACAUACUUGAUUAGACAUAAUAGUGUACAGACCUUUAUUAUUCUAUUGGUGAUUGGAUAUUUAUUACUUUGAACUAAAUGUGUGCGCCAUUGGAAGGACAUAUACAGAUACAUAUCCAUGCACUGACAAUCGAUUGAUAAAACCUUUUUCCCACGUUUGAUAACCUUAUCUUUCUUUACGGGAUUCCAUUUUCACUCGCCGAAGAAACUCUAACUACAAAUAUCAAGGUUAAAGUCACUGCAUGCGGAAAAGAUGUGGCCGAAAAAGAUUACAAGAUAAUAAUUCAAUAGCAGUAUCUUAUUAAAGAUUUGGAUUACAAAAAGGAUUUUCUCUCAAAAGGAACUUAAUGUGCACGUGUUUUAAAAUAAAACUUAAAGUGAAGAGAAAUGUUUAAAAAUGUACUUUCGAUCAAUAAGCUUUCCGAAAGGGCUCUUUUGUUUGAAUCUAUUUUCUAUGUAUUUUGAGAAUUAGAAUUCUAGUAUAAGACAUUACAGACAUAAAGCAUUAAAAAGCGUUGAGAGACAAGCAGUGGAUUUCACCAGUGGGGAUAAUAUUACAAGCACAGAGGAAGGAAGUAUAAGGAGAGGGGCAUAACUAUACCAGAAGGACUUAUGGACAAAGUUAAUUAACUUUCAACAAUUGAAAACAGAUGUGACUGAAGACUUUACUAUUCUCGAGCAGCUUUCCCGCAAGUUUUAGUAUUAGCUAAAGAGUAGAUAAAUAAGAUUUUAACAAAUUAGUGAUUGUUAAAUAACAAACAUUGUAGACAAUUUGUGCAAAAAACAGCAGCCGAUAUUUCAAAACAGCACUUGUAAAUCCUACCAAUAAAAAGUAAUUAUUUUAAAAAAUAACUUCCAAUUGAAAUAGAUUACCAGACAAUAUCGUGUGUGCCAAGACAAUAGAGAGGUUUAAAACUUCAGAUGCUCUCUCAUCGUUGGACCUUAUUUACCAGGGCCCCUGUUCAGCUGUCAUUGAAACAUUGUACACCCUGAAAAGUAUACCUAUUCAGAUUCAGAUUCUGAAUUUCAGACAUGUAGCAAUUCUAUUUCAUUUUUAUACGAUUGGAAAACAUUUUUCGCGUCGUAUAUUAUUGGUAUGACGUUGUCGUCGUCGUCGUCCGAAGAAACAUUUGGUUUCCGGACAAUAACUUUAGUCAAAGUGAAGGGAUCCUAUUAAAUUUGACCAGAAUGUUCAAUUACACAAAGGGAAGGUUGGGAUUGAUUUGGGGGAUUAUGGUACAAACAGGUUAGAAAUUAGGGGCCAAAAACAAGCAAUUUUGUAGUUUCGGGAAUAUAACUUGUAAGUUUAUGGAUCUCUCUGAUAUUGUACUACAAGGUUCAGAUUACGAUUGAAAGACUGGGUAUGAGUUUGGGGGUAAUUGACCCAAAUGAUGAAGAAUUAGCGGACAAAAAGGGGACAAAUACAAGCAAUUUUGUAGUUUCUCAUAAUAACGUGUGUGUAAGUAUGUGGAUAUCUCUGAGAUAUGGUUCCAUAUCUCAAUGGGAAGACUGGGUAUGAGUUUGGGAUAAUUGCCCAAACGUUCAGAAAUUAGGUGCCCAAAAGGGGCCAAAACCAGCCUUUUUCUAGUUUCCAGACAAUAACUUGUGCUUAGGUGUGGAUUUCUCUGAAAUUAUAUUACAAGGUACCAUACCUUUAAGAGAAGGCUGGGAUUGAGUUUGGGGGUAAUUACUUCAAAGGGGGUCCUAAUUUUUUUUUUUUCAUAUUCUUUUAGUAUUUUUUUCUUUAAAAUUGUCAAUUUUUUUCAUGUGAUAAAAAUAAGCAAAAAUACUGAUUUCACAGGAGAUACACACCAAACAGGAUGUGUAAGUUAUCAUAUAAAGGAUUGCGCAAAAGCAAGAAAUCUUCCAAUAGCAUAUUAUUGCACUGUAGCAUAAUAUUGUGCAAUAGCAAGAGAUCUUCAACUGCACAGUAUUGCACAAUAGCAAGAAACAUCCAAUUGCACAAUAUUGCGCAAAAGCAAGAAAUCUCCAAUUGCACAUGUACAGUAUUGGGCAAUAGCAAGAAAUAUCUAAAAGCACAAAUAUCCGCAAGACUUCCUCAAUUGCACAAUAGCCAAAGAAAUCGUCAGUUGCACAAUAUUGCACAGUAGCAAGAAAUAUCUUAUUGCAAAAUACCAAGAAAUUUUUAAUUGCACAGUAUUGCGCAAUAGCACAGUAUUGUCCAGUCGCAACGAAUAGUAUUGUUGAAUAGCAUAUUAUUGCACAGUAUUGCGCAAUUUCAAGAAAUUUCAAUUGAAAAUAAAGACAAAUACUUUAACCCAUUUCAAAUUUAUAAGAACUUUCACCACAUUUAUUUUGUGUGAGAAACCUAUAUUAUGUCAAAAUUUUUAUCGCAAUCCAAAUUCAGACAGUAUCUAGCUUGAAAAUUGUGUCGAAACUUGCACCAACUGUAUGGUGCGGUCGUAUCAGGCUGCGCUCUGCGGAUCAUUUUAUUUUAAGAAGCAUUUAUAAGGAUUGUUUACUUGUUUAAAUCAUAAUAAAGAUAUAAAUACAAUGAAA